Molecule: long non-coding RNA, 557 nt
Filed under: Leguminivora glycinivorella
Lineage: Eukaryota; Metazoa; Arthropoda; Insecta; Lepidoptera; Tortricidae
Description: uncharacterized LOC125233831
Source: RNAcentral
GUGUUGUGUGCUUGACAAUAUAGCUAACAAAGCGAAUUGUGAACUGCCUCCGCUGAACCGACACGAAGAACAGGAGCAGCAGCAGGAGCAGAGAUUAGCGGCGGAGUUUGACGCCCGUCAGCAGAAUGCUGAUAUUUAUUUGGCAAUGGCUCCUGACAGGUGUUGGCUAAACAAAGAGCUGCAGCUGGGUCGCGCUGCUCGUCAAGCGCUUGUCCGGCAGUUAGCAAAUUAUUGAUUCUUCAUCGGACCAAGGCCGAUUUGUCCAGGACCAAUUUUCGGAUCUCCUGGGCUUCCUGGAACAAGGACUAGUGAUUGUUUCGAGGAGCUGUCAUGGUGUUGGCUCUUGAUAUUUUAUCGUGAAACGCAGAUUUAAUGAUGAAGGCGCGUCGGAACCCAAACGUCAAGAAUCGCCGACGUUCACAGAAGCAGCUACAAUGAGCGGAGAAUCUGAGAGCCAGGAAUGCGGAGCACCUUGCUACUACUAAAAUGGAGAACCCGGACCUGUUAGCGACAUGGAACUGACCAGGACCGUCGUGGGCUCCUCAUGUGCCACCCCG